GAUGAACGCUGGCGGCGUGCCUAAUACAUGCAAGUCGAGCGAACGGACGAGAAGCUUGCUUCUCUGAUGUUAGCGGCGGACGGGUGAGUAACACGUGGAUAACCUACCUAUAAGACUGGGAUAACUUCGGGAAACCGGAGCUAAUACCGGAUAAUAUUUUGAACCGCAUGGUUCAAAAGUGAGAGACGGCCUUGCGGGAACUAAUAGCGGCUUCUCCGCUGCUUUAGCUAGUUGGUAAGUUAACGGGUUACGAAGGCAACGAUGCAUAGCCGACUUGAGGGGGUGAUCGGCGACACGGGAACGGAGACACGGUCCAGACUACUACGGGAGGCAGCAGUAGGGAACCGGCCGCAAUGGGCGAAAGCCUGACGGAGCAACCCCGAGUGAGUGACGGAGGUCUCCGGAUCGUAAAACUCUGUUAUUAGGGAAGAACAGAUUUGUAAGUAACUGUGCACAUCUUGACGGUACUUAAUCAGAAAGCCACGGCUAACUACGUG
Molecule: ribosomal RNA, 497 nt
Filed under: uncultured bacterium
Lineage: Bacteria
Description: partial 16S ribosomal RNA
Rfam family: Bacterial small subunit ribosomal RNA
Source: RNAcentral